GUGCAUCACUUGAUACACAGCCAAGUGAAGAAACUGAGAAGAAAACUUCCUUCCUCUGUGGACUUUGAAUCAAAACUCAUACCCAUAUGUUGUCAAUUUUUUUUAUCCUGUUCUAUUUUCUUUUUCAUUGAUUGACUGAUUGAAAAUAUCUCAUACAUUUCCAUAUAUUCUAUCGAAAAGAACAAUUUUUUUUGUUGUUAUAAAUGAACAUUAGUGGUUAUAGAAACUACUUACAUAUGCUUAUGACACCAUCUGCAAAUUUUAUUUGUAAUGUAUUUUAAAAUCUUUUUCUGAAAGAUCCAUUAGUUUCGUGAAUAUUUCUCCAUUUAUGAGGUUUAAGACUGCUUUAUUUUUGACAUAACCUGUAGAGUCAAAUCACACAGAAAUGUCAGUAAUCGGAUGGCUUGGCAGGAAACUCUUUUAUCUACAUAUAUAUAGGGAUGAAAAUGUAUUAUAAUGUAAGCCUUUGUAACACUUCAGUUGUUUCUUGAGUGUCAGCAGCUAGAUGUAUUUCAUUUGACAGUGUAAGUGUGGAACUUGAGACUUAAAAGUGAAUUAUACAUGCCUUUAUUCUACACUUUCUAUUUGUCUGUUUGUUUUCUGUACUUAUAUACAGUAACUGAAGGAUUGCUGGAAAACUGAGCUGAGAUAAUUUAAUUUCUAGUUCCUCCUACGCUUAGGAAUAUUACAGCAAAAGGACCAAGAUGUUAAGUCUUACUGAAUUUACUCAAAUUUAAAGGAAUUCAACUUUAAUAUUUGUUUGGUCUGAGAAGGACAUGCAUUUCCUAUUAGAAUUUUUCUCUAAGCACUCAUGUAUAGUAUUGCUGUGUUCGUUGCAGUUGAUUCUGAAUUCAUUGCUUGUCUUUUAGCCUUCUUUUAUCCAUUAGUUGAUGAAAACUGAAGGAUGUCAGGAUUCUGGCAUCGCUGCUGUACUUUUCUUCUGAAUGCAACUGUAUGGAAUGGAGGAAGGAGUGCUGAUAUUGCAAGAAAAUUCCCUAAUGUUUUCAUAGCUUAUACAAAAUGUGAUCUUCCUUUUGGCAGACUUCACUUGGUUGAAUCCCUACCAAUGCAGAAGGUGAAUAAGAAUACCUGGACUCAAUCUGUAAUUCAAUUCUGGAUCCUAUUUCCUAGUUUCACCUGUGCAUGUAUGCUUCUGUCUCUGUGUUUAUGAAUAAUAUCUAUCAGUUCUCUCCAUCAUCCUGGUUGAGAGAGUGAGUGAGUGGGCAGCUGGGUGGAGGGCUUACCUGUCUGCCAGGGACAACCCAACCACAUGGAAGAAGAAACUAUAAGAAUGCAGUAUAAAUGGUUAAAAGCCUUUUAUUUCUGUUUUCUGGUAUUAUUUCAGUUGUUUCUGUGAAUUUGCUUACUGUGCUUUUCUGUACCUUAAGGUUGUUGGCUGGGCUUACUGUUGUCUUUAUAAAACUUACGUUGUACCACACAAAGAUAAACAGAAGUAGAACAAA
This is a long non-coding RNA of Gallus gallus (chicken), 1463 nucleotides long. RefSeq lists it as uncharacterized. Lineage: Eukaryota; Metazoa; Chordata; Aves; Galliformes; Phasianidae. The transcript has 3 exons. The record is from RefSeq and is a predicted model, not a curated record.